This 1003-nucleotide long non-coding RNA is filed under the name Salvia miltiorrhiza (redroot sage). RNAcentral's name for it is "long non-coding RNA (SMIL_LNC000647)". Lineage: Eukaryota; Viridiplantae; Streptophyta; Magnoliopsida; Lamiales; Lamiaceae. The record is from RNAcentral.
AUUUUGAUCAUCAUUCAUCAUCGUCAUAUAGAGGUAGACCCUUUUCUUCAAUGUGUGUGUGUGUGUGUGUUUUUGUCGCUAUUUUUUGCUGGGUUUUACUUCAAUUACUCAAAGUUUGAGUCUUGAUUAUCAACUCUCUGUGUGUGUGUGUGUUGUUUUCCUUAAUUUGGAUUCCCAUUGUUCUAGUUUUCUGGUAUGUGUGAAAUUGGAUAGCGAUGAUUAUUAAUGCUGACAAAGAAAGUAUUUUUUUAUUUAGUUUUUUAUUUUCAAAAAAUAAAUUUGUUUCUUGAAUUUGCAUAUACUUGUAUAUGUAAGCUGGAAAUUUACUCCAAUUUCUUUUUUGUUGUUGUUGUUUCAAAAUUGCUUUAUGCCGUUGAUAUUGAGAGCUACUGAAAGUGGACUAUUUUGCUGAUUUUUGGGAACAUAUUAUAUUAAAUGAUGAGUGAUUUCAAUUGGGGGUUAGGCUUUGGUAUUUUCUAGAGCAGCAAUAGUUCAAGAUAACUUCAUAAUUUUGAUUAAUAGCAACUUUUUUUUCUUGAUUUCCCCUCCUUUUCCUGUAUAAUUCAGCCCCUGCAUAAGGCCUAAUCCCUGCAAAUUGUAGCAGUUUUCGUAUAGGUCGUGUCUCCAAAUCUCGAACGCCAAAAUGUAGUUCGUAUUAGGAUUCGAAAGGCUCGUUUCUUGAUCUCUAGAUAGUAACUGAUUGUUGGCUGAGUAUGUUUAAAUGCUCCUUUUGUGUUGAUGUUGUGUAUACAUCUAAGCACCCCUCGUUUCAUGCUAACUCAUGCAGUUUUGGUCGAUGCUAGCAUCUUAUGGCGCAUGCCGCUUUGGUGUCCUUUAGAGAUUUAGAUGAUUUUAUAUCUUAAAGUCGUCGUAUUUUAUUUUGCUCAUGUAGAUUAAAGCUAGCUUGGAUGGUUGAUUUGUUGGACGAUUGAUGGUGAAUGAAGGCAUAAUUAGUUGGAGAUUGUAUUAAAGGUUGUUUUUAGUAUAUAAAUGAAGGCGUAAU